Oxyura jamaicensis (ruddy duck) is the source of this 563-nucleotide long non-coding RNA. RefSeq lists it as uncharacterized. The transcript is spliced from 3 exons. The record is from RefSeq and is a predicted model, not a curated record. NCBI's taxonomy places the organism in Eukaryota, Metazoa, Chordata, Aves, Anseriformes, Anatidae.
AAAUGACAGCCAAAAGCUAUGUGAAAUUGCAUAUUAUAGGUCUCAGUGGGUUGUUCUUCUGAAGCAUUUUUUGGGCAGUAAUAGACAUGCUGAAAAAGGCAAUUGAGACACUGCUUAUGUGCAGCCCUAAAGAUCUCUGACAGAUAAACUGAACAAAGAACAUAAGUUGAUUGACUGUAUGUGACUUUAGAAAUACUUGCAAUGGGCUAAGAACAUCCCUUUAAACAUGUCUGUAUAGACAGAUUCAGGCAGUUAUGUACUAGUUCUUUCAACAUUCUGGGCUGGCCAGUCCCAAGUCAUCUCUGGAUCAGGUGCUGUCUAACUUAAUUUGAGAGAGGCUGUAUCUCAUUCUAAAGCAUCACACUUCUACCUGUAUAGACGAUGUACCAAUAUUUUCACUGUUCUUGUAAGGUAACAAAACCUGUUCAUCCCCCUUUACAGAUGGUGGUCUGAAGAGAACAUGAAUGACUUGCUUGGACAUCACACAGAAAAACUGUGAAGAAAAACUGCGUUUAUUUCCUAAAGUGAGUGCUAACACAAUGGCCAUUAAACAACUGUAUAUA